This 72-nucleotide transfer RNA is filed under the name Ictidomys tridecemlineatus (thirteen-lined ground squirrel). RNAcentral describes it as "Spermophilus tridecemlineatus (thirteen-lined ground squirrel) tRNA". It matches the Rfam family "tRNA". Rfam says of the family: Transfer RNA (tRNA) molecules are approximately 80 nucleotides in length. Lineage: Eukaryota; Metazoa; Chordata; Mammalia; Rodentia; Sciuridae. The record is from Rfam by way of RNAcentral.
AGGGGUGUAGCUAAGUGGUAGAGCACUUGCCCAACAUACAUGAGGCAUUAGGUUCAAUCCCCAACACCACCA